GACGAACGCUGGCGGCGUGCUUAACACAUGCAAGUCGAACGGAAAGGCCCUGCUUUUGUGGGGUGCUCGAGUGGCGAACGGGUGAGUAACACGUGAGUAACCUGCCCUUGACUUUGGGAUAACUUCAGGAAACUGGGGCUAAUACCCGAUAGGAGCUCCUGCUGCAUGGUGGGUGUUGUAAAGUUUCGGCGGUUGGGGAUGGACUCGCGGCUUCUCAGCUUGUUUGUGGGGUAGUGGCUUACCAAGGCUUUGACGGGUAGCCGGCCUGAGAGGGUGACCGGCCACAUUGGGACUGAGAUACGGCCCAGACUCCUACGGGAGGCAGCAGUGGGGAAUAUUGCACAAUGGGCGGAAGCCUGAUGCAGCAACGCCGCGUGCGGGAUGACGGCCUUCGGGUUGUAAACCGCUUUCGCCUGUGACGAAGCGUGAGUGACGGUAAUGGGUAAAGAAGCACCGGCUAACUACGUG
RNAcentral lists this ribosomal RNA (468 nucleotides) under uncultured bacterium. RNAcentral describes it as "partial 16S ribosomal RNA". It matches the Rfam family "Bacterial small subunit ribosomal RNA", at positions 28 to 507 of the family's 1533-position model. The record is from RNAcentral.